UACGUAGGGUGCGAGCGUUAAUCGGAAUUACUGGGCGUAAAGUGUGCGCAGGCGGCCGCGCAAGUCGAGUGUGAAAGCCCCGGGCUUAACUUGGGAAUUGCGCUCGAAACUACGUGGCUGGAGUGUGGCAGAGGAAGGUGGAAUUCCAGGUGUAGCGGUGAAAUGCGUAGAGAUCUGGAGGAACACCUGUGGCGAAGGCGGCCGACUGGGCCGACCCUGACGCUGAGGCGCGAAGGCGUGGGGAGCGAACGGG
This 253-nucleotide ribosomal RNA is filed under the name uncultured bacterium. RNAcentral describes it as "partial 16S ribosomal RNA". It matches the Rfam family "Bacterial small subunit ribosomal RNA", at positions 524 to 776 of the family's 1533-position model. The record is from RNAcentral.